RNAcentral lists this long non-coding RNA (211 nucleotides) under Capsicum annuum. RNAcentral's name for it is "long non-coding RNA (CANN_LNC019922)". Lineage: Eukaryota; Viridiplantae; Streptophyta; Magnoliopsida; Solanales; Solanaceae. The record is from RNAcentral.
UUCAUUGGUAGGGUAACACAUGUUCUCCCAAGAACUCCAAUGAUAGUUAUCUUUUUUAAUUGAGGAUCCCCAAAAAAAUCUUGCAAAAUGCCUCUCCAUUUGUUUGAUAAUCCUUUUGGAGCAGUAAAAGUAGUGAGUGUGUAGAUAGAAGAUUAAAGCACGUGUUUGAUCAAAAUGUAUUUUUCUACGUAGGAGAGGAUUCUACUUUGCC